GGCGCAUUCAGGAGUGCCGUCCCUCGUGGCUAGUCAUGGCCUGGGAAACAUUACGGCUCCAUCCCGGUUUGCUUAAGGAGCAAGAGUUGGCGUUCAAGAUACCAGGAGUUUGAAAUGGAAAAAACUGGCCGCGCUGCUCAAGCUGGGAUGAUGUAAUCUGCCUUCUAGGGCGAGGAACAGAGGGCCGAGGAUCACCUGGGCGUUGGGAGCACCUCCCGCCAAGUGGAAGCCUCGGUGCUGUGCUCUACAUGGAGAACCAGCUCCAGAACUUUAGCCACCUUUCGGAGUAAGGACGGCCCAAGAGCACUAUACGGAAGCGGGACCCUUCCCUUCGGCCGGAAUUGAACCACCAGCGUCCCAAACUGAAGGAUAGUGAAGCCAACCCCAACCCCAAGCUGCCUCUUCCUUGACUAUCAUUUCUUAUGGCUAACACCCUUUCUUCCCUCUCCUCAGCCUCAGGUACAUUAAGGCAAGAACCAACAGGGCAUGGCCAGGCUAUUAAUUCCGUGUGCCUACAGCUUAUUAUGAAGAAGAUGCAUUCGUUUUCUCUGCCUGCUUCUGAGUAGGUGCAGAAGCAGCCCAUGAGAGAGCCGUUGGCAGCCAAAGUUUUCUAAAAACACCCAGGCAACAGCUGUCCUUGGCUGUCACCUGACUUGCCAGGCCCUGAGUCAGCACCACUCCCCCACCCGGCCUCCCCUGCUGAGCCAGAUCUGACUUGCCCUUUCCUGGCUGGGCCAAACCGGUUGGGCCAGCCCUGCCCCAUCCCAGCAUCCUCCUCAGGAGGUGACUUCUUGCUCCCUUACUGUCACCUGGGGUCCCACCCUUGCACUGUGCUUGUCAUCCAGAGCAGCACCCUCAUGCCUGAAAGUUUAGCCCUCCCUGAGGGGAGUUGAGAGACCACCCCUGAGCUGCUGGAGACAACGGGGAGGCUCUGGAAUUGGUCCCUGGGCCCUAACAUCUCCUUCUAUUUACCGAAGAGCAUCAUCCUUCUCUUGGUGACUCUGGGAUUUGCUUUAGGAGAAAAGCAGAAGAAAAUACAAAGACUCUAGAGGAGGAUUCCACACCCAGGUUCAAGCCCAGAAGAGAACAGGGCUGGGGCAAUCCGAAGACCA
RNAcentral lists this long non-coding RNA (1112 nucleotides) under Sus scrofa (pig). Its description in RNAcentral is "lncRNA (ENSSSCG00005042167.1)". Lineage: Eukaryota; Metazoa; Chordata; Mammalia; Artiodactyla; Suidae. The record is from RNAcentral.